RNAcentral lists this long non-coding RNA (1060 nucleotides) under Citrus sinensis (sweet orange). RNAcentral's name for it is "long non-coding RNA (CSIN_LNC000026)". Lineage: Eukaryota; Viridiplantae; Streptophyta; Magnoliopsida; Sapindales; Rutaceae. The record is from RNAcentral.
AAAAACAAAGCAAGUCCGAGAGAAGAAAAAAAGUGAAACCGAGAGAAAAGAGAAGGAAAAGAAAAAGAAAAUAAGAAAAGAAAAUGAAGAAGGAAAAAAAUAAGCCGAGAGUGGGGAAGAGAGAAAUUGAAAAGAAAAGUUACAGAAAAUAAAAUUGGAUAGUUAGAAUUAUAUCCAUUGGAUUAGUGGGUAAUAGAUUUAUGAAAUUUGAGCAGUUAUAUUACUAUUUGCAUGAUACGUAUAAGUUUUUAUAUCAGUUCUAACAGUUAAUUUUCGAACCAUGUAUUUUAGGAGGAACUCGAGAAUCCAGGAACCUACAAGAGCCCCAACGAACCCCAGAGUGAAAUAGGAUCUGUGAGUGGAUACUAUUGUUACUAUUAUUUAUUCCAUGAAGCAUUUAUAUUUGAUAUUAUGAUUUACUAUCAUGUUAUGAUUAUAUGUACGCAUAUUAUAUGUUUGAUUGAGUCAUGAGAUGUGAUUACUAGUCACCAUAUAUGUACCCGUCCCUGUAGACUCUGCGCAUGCGUAUCGAGAGUUAGGUUACUCUACCCGUGUGAGAUAGUUUAAUUACGCUCGGUAUUGAGAGGUUUUCCCCACUCUACUUUUGCGAUAAUGAUCCCGGCGAGUAUUGAGAGUUAUUUCCCCUGGGUGCUAUUUGGUGAAGUUUUGUGAUGUAUGUAUGUAUGAAUUCCAUGUUUGCUAGUGUAUGAUGUUCAAUGAGGAGUUAUGCCACAUAAUUAUGCAUAAGCACUAGUACACUAUAUUAUUAUUAUUAUUAUUAUUAUUAUUAUUAUUAUUUUAAUAUAUAUAAUUGCAUCCACUCACUGAGCGCAAGCUCACUAUUUUCUAUUUACCCAUUUUCUCCUAGGAUUCCACAGGAUUUCGUGCAGAUCAGUUCUAGUUAAUUGAGGUUAGGCCACGAGACCACUGAGCCGCAAGCUCACUAUUUUCCUAUUUACCCCUUUCCACUCAGGAUUCCACAGGAUUUCGUGCAGAUCAGUUCUAGUUAAUUGAGGUUAGGCCACGAGACGCAUUGCUACAUGUCUUGCAUUUUGAGCAC